CCAUCAGCGGUUCAGUGGUAGAAUGCUCCCCUGCCACGCGGGCGGCCCGAGUUCGAUUCCAGGCUGAUGCA
Molecule: transfer RNA, 71 nt
Filed under: Cordylochernes scorpioides
Lineage: Eukaryota; Metazoa; Arthropoda; Arachnida; Pseudoscorpiones; Chernetidae
Description: tRNA-Gly
Rfam family: tRNA
About the family: Transfer RNA (tRNA) molecules are approximately 80 nucleotides in length. Their secondary structure includes four short double-helical elements and three loops (D, anti-codon, and T loops). Further hydrogen bonds mediate the characteristic L-shaped molecular structure. tRNAs have two regions of fundamental functional importance: the anti-codon, which is responsible for specific mRNA codon recognition, and the 3' end, to which the tRNAs corresponding amino acid is attached (by aminoacyl-tRNA synthetases). tRNAs cope with the degeneracy of the genetic code in two manners: having more than one tRNA (with a specific anti-codon) for a particular amino acid; and 'wobble' base-pairing, i.e. permitting non-standard base-pairing at the 3rd anti-codon position.
Source: RNAcentral